GGUGUUUCUUCUCUCUUUACAACCAUUUCUUCUAAUCGAUAGCAAAAGCAGAGACGGUUACCAUAUUUGGAUCCAGAAUAUGGCAGAUGAAGAAGUGAUGGUGGAAGCAACGAGCCCUGUUCCAUCAGAUCAUCACAAGAGAAAGCUGGAGGAUUUGGAGCUGAACGCACUUGAACCACACACUGAAAUCGGGUCGGACCCGAAUACCGAGACGGUGUCCGAUUCUGUCCAAAAACUUGACGGAACAAUUGAGGAAGAGGCGGCUGAUGUUGAUGGGUCUGAACCUAAACGACCUCGUUUGGAGGAUAAAGCUAAUGGAUUGGCAUCUCAAAAUGGUUAUGAGGAGAAGGUAGAGGAAGAGUUAAAAGUAGAUGAUAUUGAGCAGCGAGAAGUAGCCCAGGAGGCUCCUGAAUCCUGUAAAGAACAACCUGCUGAUGGUAAUCAGCAAACAGGGGAUGUUGAACAGUCUGAUGCCAAAACUUUUCUUGAGAUAGAGAACAGUACUCAGUUCAAUGAACCAUCUAAAGGUGACAUUC
Molecule: unclassified non-coding RNA, 536 nt
Filed under: Hevea brasiliensis (rubber tree)
Lineage: Eukaryota; Viridiplantae; Streptophyta; Magnoliopsida; Malpighiales; Euphorbiaceae
Source: RNAcentral